GAUGAAGAACGUAGCGAAAUGCGAUAAGUAAUGUGAAUUGCAGAAUUCAGUGAAUCAUCGAAUCUUUGAACGCACAUUGCGCCCGCCAGUAUUCUGGCGGGCAUGCCUGUUCGAGCGUCAUUUCAACCAUCAAGCCCCAGGCUUGUGUUGGGGACCUGCGGCUGCCGCAGGCCCUGAAAACCAGUGGCGGGCUCGCUGUCACACCGGGCGUAGUAGAUUUUAUCUCGCUCUGGGCGUGCUGCGGGUUCCGGCCGUUAAAAAACCCUUUUAACCCAAGGUUGACCUCGGAUCAGGCAGGAAUACCCGCUGAACUUAAGCAUAUCAAUAAGCGGAGGA
Molecule: unclassified non-coding RNA, 336 nt
Filed under: soil metagenome
Description: partial contains 5.8S ribosomal RNA, internal transcribed spacer 2, and large subunit ribosomal RNA
Rfam family: 5.8S ribosomal RNA (bases 1-120)
Source: RNAcentral